RNAcentral lists this ribosomal RNA (507 nucleotides) under uncultured bacterium. RNAcentral's name for it is "partial 16S ribosomal RNA". It matches the Rfam family "Bacterial small subunit ribosomal RNA", at positions 29 to 507 of the family's 1533-position model. The record is from RNAcentral.
ACGAACGCUGGCGGCGUGCCUCAUCCAUGCAAGUCGAACGCUUCUUUCCUCCCGAGUGCUUGCACUCAAUUGGAAAGAGGAGUGGCGGACGGGUGAGUAACACGUGGGUAACCUACCCAUCAGAGGGGGAUAACACUUGGAAACAGGUGCUAAUACCGCAUAACAGUUUAUGCCGCAUGGCAUAAGAGUGAAAGGCGCUUUCGGGUGUCGCUGAUGGAUGGACCCGCGGUGCAUUAGCUAGUUGGUGAGGUAACGGCUCACCAAGGCCACGAUGCAUAGCCGACCUGAGAGGGUGAUCGGCCACACUGGGACUGAGACACGGCCCAGACUCCUACGGGAGGCAGCAGUAGGGAAUCUUCGGCAAUGGACGAAAGUCUGACCGAGCAACGCCGCGUGAGUGAAGAAGGUUUUCGGAUCGUAAAACUCUGUUGUUAGAGAAGAACAAGGACGUUAGUAACUGAACGUCCCCUGACGGUAUCUAACCAGAAAGCCACGGCUAACUACGUG